This 314-nucleotide ribosomal RNA is filed under the name uncultured eukaryote. Its description in RNAcentral is "partial 18S ribosomal RNA". It matches the Rfam family "Eukaryotic small subunit ribosomal RNA", at positions 1470 to 1796 of the family's 1831-position model. The record is from RNAcentral.
CCCUUAGAUGUUCUGGGCUGCACGCGCGCUACACUGAUGCACUCAACGAGUUUACGACCUUGUCCGAGAGGAUUGGGUAAUCUUUUUAAAAUGCAUCGUGAUGGGGAUAGAUUAUUGCAAUUAUUAAUCUUCAACGAGGAAUUCCUUGUAAUCGCGGUUUAUCAGCCCGCGUUGAAUGCGUCCCUGCCCUUUGUACACACCGCCCGUCGCUCCUACCGAUGAAUCGUCCGGUGAAGUUCAUGGAGUAGUGGUUGUUCCAUCCGCUGUCGAAGUGAAAUAAACCUCAUGAUUUAGAGGAAGGAGAAGUCGUAACA